UGGGGAAUCUUGGACAAUGGGGGCAACCCUGAUCCAGCCAUGCCGCGUGAGUGAUGAAGGCCUUAGGGUCGUAAAGCUCUUUCGCCUGUGAAGAUAAUGACGGUAGCAGGUAAAGAAACCCCGGCUAACUCCGUGCCAGCAGCCGCGGUAAUACGGAGGGGGUUAGCGUUGUUCGGAAUUACUGGGCGUAAAGCGCACGUAGGCGGACCAGAAAGUUGGGGGUGAAAUCCCGGGGGCUCAACCCCGGAACUGCCUCCAAAACUAUUGGUCUAGAGUUCGAGAGAGGUGAGUGGAAUUCCAAGUGUAGAGGUGAAAUUCGUAGAUAUUUGGAGGAACACCAGUGGCGAAGGCGGCUCACUGGCUCGAUACUGACGCUGAGGUGCGAAAAGUGUGGGGAGCAAACAGGAUUAGAUACCCUGGUAGUCCACACCGUAAAACGAUGAAUGCCAGUCGUCGGGGUAGCAUGCUAUUCGGUGACACACCUAACGGAUUAAGCAUUCCGCCUGGGGAGUACGGUCGCAAGAUU
RNAcentral lists this ribosomal RNA (526 nucleotides) under uncultured bacterium. RNAcentral's name for it is "bacterial SSU rRNA". It matches the Rfam family "Bacterial small subunit ribosomal RNA", at positions 355 to 895 of the family's 1533-position model. The record is from RNAcentral.